RNAcentral lists this transfer RNA (85 nucleotides) under Arabidopsis suecica. Its description in RNAcentral is "tRNA-Tyr". It matches the Rfam family "tRNA". Rfam says of the family: Transfer RNA (tRNA) molecules are approximately 80 nucleotides in length. Their secondary structure includes four short double-helical elements and three loops (D, anti-codon, and T loops). Further hydrogen bonds mediate the characteristic L-shaped molecular structure. tRNAs have two regions of fundamental functional importance: the anti-codon, which is responsible for specific mRNA codon recognition, and the 3' end, to which the tRNAs corresponding amino acid is attached (by aminoacyl-tRNA synthetases). tRNAs cope with the degeneracy of the genetic code in two manners: having more than one tRNA (with a specific anti-codon) for a particular amino acid; and 'wobble' base-pairing, i.e. permitting non-standard base-pairing at the 3rd anti-codon position. Lineage: Eukaryota; Viridiplantae; Streptophyta; Magnoliopsida; Brassicales; Brassicaceae. The record is from RNAcentral.
CCGACCUUAGCUCAGUUGGUAGAGCGGAGGACUGUAGUUGAAGGAGAAUAUCCUUAGGUCACUGGUUCGAAUCCGGUAGGUCGGA